RNAcentral lists this ribosomal RNA (169 nucleotides) under uncultured cf. Russula. Its description in RNAcentral is "5.8S ribosomal RNA". It matches the Rfam family "5.8S ribosomal RNA". From Rfam's summary of the family: 5.8S ribosomal RNA (5.8S rRNA) is a component of the large subunit of the eukaryotic ribosome. It is transcribed by RNA polymerase I as part of the 45S precursor that also contains 18S and 28S rRNA. The record is from RNAcentral. Lineage: Eukaryota; Fungi; Basidiomycota; Agaricomycetes; Russulales; Russulaceae.
UACAACUUUCAACAACGGAUCUCUUGGCUCUCGCAUCGAUGAAGAACGCAGCGAAAUGCGAUACGUAAUGUGAAUUGCAGAAUUCAGUGAAUCAUCGAAUCUUUGAACGCACCUUGCGCCCCUUGGCAUUCCGAGGGGCACACCCGUUUGAGUGUCGUGAAAUUAUCAA